AUGUAGAUAUUCCAUUCAAAAUCAGCCAUUUCCAGCUACAAUAGUCAUUUACAACACUAACAAUGUGUACACUCUAUUUCUGAUCAAUUUGAUGUUAUUUUAAUGGUCCAAAAAAUAUGCUUUUCUUUCAAAAACAAGAACAUUUUUAAGUGACCUCAAACUUUUGAACGACAGUGUAUGUAUAUACUGUAUUUUAUACCAUAUACUGCAUCUUGCCUGUGCCGCUCAGUCAUCGCUCAUCCAUAUAUUUAUAUGUACAUAUUCUUAUUCAUUCCUUUAACCUUGUGUGUAUUAGGUAGUUGUUGUGGAAUUGUUAGAUUACUUGUUAGAUAUUACUGCGCUGUCGGAACUAGAAGCACAAGCAUUUCGCUACACUCGCAUUAAAAUCUGCUAAUCAUGUGUAUGUGACCAAUACAAUUUGUAUUGAUGAUUUUAUUUGAAAGAUGAUACCUGAGUUUCUCACUUGAAAAUGAUCCGAAUUAACCAAUUGGAAGCUCUUUGCAAAUAACUUACAUUCAUUUUAAUGGGAAAUGUAGGACAUCUUAAUUGGGCAUGGGACACAAGCUACGGCUUGAUCACCCUUUAGCCGGCCACCUUUGAUGAGUGUGUUUAGUGAUUAAAGGCCGAAACACCCACUGAUUCGAAGGCACACUACUGAGGAUGUGUCCCAAAAUGUACAUCUUAACCCAGUCUAAGAAAUAAACCUCCCAUGCCACUCUGUCAACAUCACGGCAAAUCUCAUGUGAGUGCAUACCAUCUAUUGGCACAAUGGACAGUUUUUAACAUCUCAUCCCGUGUUUUAUGAUUCUGAUUCUAGUUCCCCCCCGUUGUCAUGAAUGCAGGAUCCUGUCUAUCCAUGAAGAAACAGUUGACAUACUAUAAGGGUACAAGUCCCAUGUUGAAACCAUUGCUUUACUUUACCAAGAGUACCUGGUCCUUGAUGUUGAUACUAUACACCAUGUACUGUAGGCUACGGUAUGCUAUGUACUGUAGGCUACGGUAUGUUAUGUAGGCUAUGAUAUGUACUGUAGACUACGAUAUGUACUGUAGGCUACGAUAUGUACUGUAAGGCUACGGUAUGUUAUGUACUGUAGGCUAUGGUAUGUUAUGUACUGUAGGCUACGGUUUGUUAUGUAGCCUACGAUAUGUACUGUGGGCUACGGUUUGUUAUGUAGCCUACGAUAUGUACUGUGGACUACGAUAUGUACUGUAGGCUACGGUAUGUUAUGUACUGUAGGCUACGGUAUGUUAUGUACUGUAGGCUACGGUAUGUUAUGUACUGUAGGCUACGGUAUGUUAUGU
Long non-coding RNA from Oncorhynchus tshawytscha (Chinook salmon), 1302 nucleotides. The record is from Ensembl. Lineage: Eukaryota; Metazoa; Chordata; Actinopteri; Salmoniformes; Salmonidae.